Molecule: unclassified non-coding RNA, 357 nt
Filed under: Hevea brasiliensis (rubber tree)
Lineage: Eukaryota; Viridiplantae; Streptophyta; Magnoliopsida; Malpighiales; Euphorbiaceae
Source: RNAcentral
GGUGAUAUUAUUACUUGGGUAUGUAUCUAUUAGCCUGUUGUAGUACAAUAAAAAGAAAAUUGUGAUAUUUAAUUACAUAACUAAAAUAUAAUAAAAAGCUAGUUAAGAUACAAAACUAAGCAUUGAAGUAAAUGAGAAAAUAAAUGGUAUAAGUGAAAUACAAAUUCACAUGCAACUUGCAUCAAUCAUCCGUUAAACGAUUAAUAGUACAUUUUAUAUUUAAUUUAAAAAAAUAAAACUUGAGUAAAAUUUCAUAUUUGAUAUAAAUAUAUUUGAGUUUCUCAUUUGGUAUAAAUAUGACAUAACAAAUACUUCUUUUAUCAACAUCUUACAGGCAAAACGUCAAAUUAAAAGUGC